UACGGAGGGUGCAAGCGUUAUCCGGAUUCACUGGGUUUAAAGGGUGCGUAGGCGGGCAGGUAAGUCAGUAGUGAAAUCUCCGGGCUUAACCCGGAAACUGCCGUUGAUACUAUCUGUCUUGAAUAUCGUGGAGGUAAGCGGAAUAUGUCAUGUAGCGGUGAAAUGCUUAGAUAUGACAUAGAACACCAAUUGCGAAGGCAGCUCACUACGCGAAUAUUGACACUGAGGCACGAAAGCGUGGGGAUCAAACAGG
RNAcentral lists this ribosomal RNA (253 nucleotides) under uncultured bacterium. RNAcentral describes it as "partial 16S ribosomal RNA". It matches the Rfam family "Bacterial small subunit ribosomal RNA", at positions 524 to 776 of the family's 1533-position model. The record is from RNAcentral.